This 345-nucleotide unclassified non-coding RNA is filed under the name soil metagenome. Its description in RNAcentral is "partial contains 5.8S ribosomal RNA, internal transcribed spacer 2, and large subunit ribosomal RNA". The stretch from base 2 to 118 matches the Rfam family "5.8S ribosomal RNA", at positions 37 to 154 of the family's 154-position model. The record is from RNAcentral.
GUGAAGAACGUAGCGAAAUGCGAUACGUAAUGUGAAUUGCAAAUUCAGUGAAUCAUCGAGUCUUUGAACGCACAUUGCGCCCCCUGGUAUUCCGGGGGGCAUGCCUGUCCGAGCGUCAUUGCUGCCCUCAAGCACGGCUUGUGUGUUGGGCCCCGUCCUCCGAUCCCGGGGGACGGGCCCGAAAGGCAGCGGCGGCACCGCGUCCGGUCCUCGAGCGUAUGGGGCUUUGUCACCCGCUCUGUAGGCCCGGCCGGCGCUUGCCGAUCAACCCAAAUUUUUUAUCCAGGUUGACCUCGGAUCAGGUAGGGAUACCCGCUGAACUUAAGCAUAUCAAUAAGCGGAGGA